AGCGGGGUGGUGUAAAGGCUGCAUGCCAGGUUCAUACCCUGGUGGUCCGGUUCGAAUCCGGCGACCGCUACCA
This 73-nucleotide transfer RNA is filed under the name Burkholderia gladioli. RNAcentral's name for it is "tRNA-Met". It matches the Rfam family "tRNA". From Rfam's summary of the family: Transfer RNA (tRNA) molecules are approximately 80 nucleotides in length. Lineage: Bacteria; Pseudomonadati; Pseudomonadota; Betaproteobacteria; Burkholderiales; Burkholderiaceae. RNAcentral also lists the same sequence under 1 other name. The record is from RNAcentral.